This 252-nucleotide unclassified non-coding RNA is filed under the name Hevea brasiliensis (rubber tree). Lineage: Eukaryota; Viridiplantae; Streptophyta; Magnoliopsida; Malpighiales; Euphorbiaceae. The record is from RNAcentral.
UAAUAAUGGUGGUGCAAAUUAAAAACUCCAUUUUCUCUUAUUUGUCUGUUUGUUCCUCAAACCCCAUCUUAGUACUACUAAAGAAUUUUCAUAAGAAGGAAAGAAAAAUUGGAACUUUAUGAUAUUGAAUUAGUUAACUGAAAAGAAACAGAAAUAUAAUAGUGAGUUGCCAAGAGUGCACGCCAAGUGUUUGUUCAUUUUACACCUUUCUUUAAAGCAUUAGAAGAGCAAAUUAAGUGACCUACCAAUUUG